GUUACUGUAGUUGAAUUACAACGGUGGUUUUUCGUAUCACUAGUCUAGGUGGAAGACCUAGCAGGAACU
This 69-nucleotide transfer RNA is filed under the name Bothus myriaster (Indo-Pacific oval flounder). RNAcentral's name for it is "tRNA-Glu". Lineage: Eukaryota; Metazoa; Chordata; Actinopteri; Pleuronectiformes; Bothidae. The record is from RNAcentral.